UGUCAGUAAUUUUGCAUUUCUCCUGCUAUUCUGAAACACGUGUGAGCUGCAACACCCACGCCUACUCUCCAACAGUUUCCAUCCUGUCCAGUGAUCCUGCAGUGAAGUCCUAAUCCUGUUUGUGGACUGCAAUCUGUUACUAUGGAAAUGAGUGAUGUCACAAAUUCAACAUUACCACCUCACUGCAGGACCAUGGGUAAAGAUCAAAAGACUAUUUAGAAGAGAACAGCAGUUAGACUUUGGUAUUAAAUGGAUUUAAUUAUUCAGCUAAAAAAAAAUCAAACCGGCAAGGCCAAAUUUAGCUGCACAAGAACUGGAAAGUGACAGUUAAGAGUCUCACAGCAACAUGUGCAUUGUGGGCAAUUUAAUUCCUUCAUGUUUUUUAACCUCAAGAAUGAAGGGUGCAAUUAGUGACACAUGGAAGUUGGUGGAGUCAGAAGCAAGGAGAAGGGGAGGGCCAGGAUAGCGGGAUCUAGCGGCUCCCGAUUCACCUCUGCAAAGACAAAGCCUGGGAUUCAUUCAAGAAGAAGAUGGGGGAAAUGCAUUCACAUUUUUAAACCCAAUAUGCUUUCCAGCUAACCACAGUGCUUUUAGUUGCAUUCUUGCUAUUAAACAUUGAUUUGAGAUACUUGCCCUAACAGA
This is a long non-coding RNA of Mauremys reevesii (Reeves's turtle), 642 nucleotides long. RefSeq lists it as uncharacterized. Lineage: Eukaryota; Metazoa; Chordata; Testudines; Geoemydidae. The record is from RefSeq and is a predicted model, not a curated record. The transcript has 2 exons.